RNAcentral lists this long non-coding RNA (209 nucleotides) under Nicotiana benthamiana. RNAcentral's name for it is "long non-coding RNA (NBEN_LNC006922)". Lineage: Eukaryota; Viridiplantae; Streptophyta; Magnoliopsida; Solanales; Solanaceae. The record is from RNAcentral.
AUCGAUAAUAUGUUCGAACGAUUCUCAAUAAUCGUCAACGAUCUUCAUGCUCUCGGAAAAAUAUACUCGAACAAAGAUCUAGUUCGAAAAAUCCUACGUAGUCUCACUCCCAAAUGGCGCUCCAGAGCAAAUGCUAUCCAAGAGUCGAUAGGAAUCACGGACGUCACAAUUGAUGGACUACGAGGUAAUCUUAAAGCUUAUCAAAGCAC